AUUCAUAUGCCGUAACUUCCUAAUCGUAAAGCUGAGUUGUCUCUCUUUGACUCUUUCUUCUUAUGGUUUUCUGUACUACUCGUAUUUUUCAUCACCGUUGCUUCAAUCCUUAACCUUGAAUCGAUAUGCAGUGACGGAGCUUAGCAGGAACCACUACCAAUUGAACCACAUGCUUUGACCCCUUGAAUUGCUUCGACUACAGGCACAACCAAUCGACCUCAUGGCUCAGGAUCCAAUUGACCACUCAUUACAAUCAACAUCUCCCGUAAGUGUUUAGUGUUACAAAACCAUUAGCGUUAUCAAAGGUGAUGGUGGAGUUAGAAGCAUCAAGAGCAUGACAUAUACUGAUGGAACAAGUUCAAAGCACACAAUCGAUGACAUUGACGCAAGCAACUUUAUACUAAGUUGGACGUUCUUUGAAGGAGACGCCUUGAUGGGUAUAAUAAACACAGCUACUCACCAUAUGAAGUUCAUACCUUCUCCUAAUGGAGGAUCCGUAUUCAAACAAACAUUUGUAAUUAGGUAUAAAGGUGAUGCCAAACAAAUGGAUGAUGUUAUUAAUAUUACUAAAGAAGCAAUCAAGAAUACUUUCAAGAAGAUGGAGUCUUAUGCUAUUGCCCAUCCUGAAGUUUACUAAUGCUUUCACCUAGAUAAUGGUGAUGUGUUCGACUGUGACAUCAUUGUACUCUAUUUUUGUUUCAUGUAAUAAUGAACAAUAAAAUAUAUUAAGUACGCAUAAUAAAUUUUCUAAUUUACAGA
Molecule: RNA transcript, 759 nt
Organism: Helianthus annuus (common sunflower)
Lineage: Eukaryota; Viridiplantae; Streptophyta; Magnoliopsida; Asterales; Asteraceae
Gene name: root allergen protein-like
Exons: 3
Source: RefSeq, a predicted model, not a curated record